Molecule: ribosomal RNA, 639 nt
Filed under: uncultured Actinomycetes bacterium
Lineage: Bacteria; Bacillati; Actinomycetota; Actinomycetes
Description: bacterial SSU rRNA
Rfam family: Bacterial small subunit ribosomal RNA
Source: RNAcentral
CGCGGCCUAUCAGCUUGUUGGUGAGGUAACGGCUCACCAAGGCUUCGACGGGUAGCUGGUCUGAGAGGACGAUCAGCCACACUGGGACUGAGACACGGCCCAGACUCCUGCGGGAGGCAGCAGUGGGGAAUCUUGCGCAAUGGGCGAAAGCCUGACGCAGCCACGCCGCGUGGGGGACGAAGGCCCUCGGGUUGUAAACCCCUUUCAGCGGGGACGAAAAUGACGGUACCUGCAGAAGAAGCUCCGGCCAACUACGUGCCAGCAGCCGCGGUAACACGUAGGGAGCAAGCGUUGUCCGGAUUUAUUGGGCGUAAAGGGCUCGUAGGCGGUUUGGUAAGUCGGGUGUGAAAGCUCAGGGCUCAACUCUGAGAAGCCAUCUGAUACUGCCAUGACUAGAGUUCGGUAGAGGAGCGUGGAAUUUCCGGUGUAGCGGUGAAAUGCUCAGAUAUCGGGAGGAACACCAGCAGCGAAGGCGGCGCUCUGGGCCGAAACUGACGCUGAGGAGCGAAAGCGUGGGGAGCAAACAGGAUUAGAUACCCUGGUAGUCCACGCCGUAAACGGUGGGCACUAGGUGUGGGGCCUAAUCAACGGGUUCCGUGCCGUAGCUAACGCAUUAAGUGCCCCGCCUGGGGAGUACGG